GGCGUAGUUGGUAACGCGCGACCUUGCCAAGGUCGAGACCGCGGGUUCGAGCCCCGUC
This 58-nucleotide transfer RNA is filed under the name Blautia wexlerae. RNAcentral describes it as "tRNA-Gly". It matches the Rfam family "tRNA", at positions 9 to 64 of the family's 71-position model. Rfam says of the family: Transfer RNA (tRNA) molecules are approximately 80 nucleotides in length. Their secondary structure includes four short double-helical elements and three loops (D, anti-codon, and T loops). Further hydrogen bonds mediate the characteristic L-shaped molecular structure. tRNAs have two regions of fundamental functional importance: the anti-codon, which is responsible for specific mRNA codon recognition, and the 3' end, to which the tRNAs corresponding amino acid is attached (by aminoacyl-tRNA synthetases). tRNAs cope with the degeneracy of the genetic code in two manners: having more than one tRNA (with a specific anti-codon) for a particular amino acid; and 'wobble' base-pairing, i.e. permitting non-standard base-pairing at the 3rd anti-codon position. The record is from RNAcentral. RNAcentral also lists the same sequence under 3 other names. Lineage: Bacteria; Bacillati; Bacillota; Clostridia; Lachnospirales; Lachnospiraceae.